Molecule: long non-coding RNA, 483 nt
Organism: Exaiptasia diaphana
Lineage: Eukaryota; Metazoa; Cnidaria; Anthozoa; Actiniaria; Aiptasiidae
Exons: 2
Source: RefSeq, a predicted model, not a curated record
UUUGCAAUGGGAACGGCAAUGAUGAGCGUGUUUCUUCUUUGUUUGCUUGCUUCUUUGAUAGUUAGUUCAGACGCGUACGCGGGCGCCAGCCGGGUAGUUGUUGGCCGUAAGCGUGGGUCUAUUAUAAAAAGACUGUUCCACAAGGGAAAUGUCCGCCGAUCAUCCACACCCGAUGGCAUCAAAAAACGACAGGCAUGUUACUUGUAUCGAGAUGAAAGAUUUGGUGAUUUCAAUAUCUGUUGGUGACACAAUGCAAGCACGAUAGAAAUGCAAUAUACAGCACAGAAGAGACAUGCAACAAAGUCAUUGCUAGUGAAUUUAAGUUUCUGAUCAUAGAAAUUAUGCAGAACACAUCGAGAUGAGAUUUUCAGUAUUGUAAAGCGAUAUUAUUAUAACGCUAUUGAAUUAUAUAGGGAAUACAAUUUGAUUUGUAAGAAUCCGAAGAAAUUAAGAAGUCAAUGAAAUAAAACACUUUGAAACUGA